Molecule: long non-coding RNA, 833 nt
Organism: Bos taurus (domestic cattle)
Lineage: Eukaryota; Metazoa; Chordata; Mammalia; Artiodactyla; Bovidae
Source: Ensembl
GUCAAGCAAAGUGGGGGCGGGGCCGGGGCCGGGGCCGGGGCCGAGGCCGGGUGUAAGAUGGAAUAAAGCAGUAGUGAAAUCAUCUUGGGGAGCUGGGAGGAGUGUCAAACUUUCAGCAAUUGAGUCCCGUUUUCCCUACCUUAGAGAAAGAGAGAGAGAUGGGAAGCUGGGGGAUUUCCAUUAAGGAGAAACCAGAGACGAUCAAAGGAGGAGGAGGGUGGUGCUGCCCUUUAAGAAAGCCGGCCAGAGCUCUGGAACUGGGACUCUUAAGAAACUUCUGUAAUGUGCCAAGUAAAGUGAGAAAGCUCUUCGUGGGGUCAAAAGAGAAGCUACCAGAGGAGGCCCCACGGAAGACUUGGCAGAAGAGAGUGGGAAAGAGCAUGCAUACUUGACAAAGACUUUACCACUAGAGAUAAUAGAGAAGCCAGAGAGAGUGAGGAGAAACUACCAGAUAAAUCAUUAUGAAGCAAAUGUUCUCCUUUCUCAAUAACAUGGACUCAAUAGCUGAAUGUGGCUCAGACAAAGCAUCUGUCUCUCCGUCUUUCAAACUUAAAAAGAAAAUCAUCAAGACCUCAGUAGAGAAAUGAGUAAUGCACGGGAUUUCAUGGAAGAGGAAACAGGACUAGUAAAUAAACACAUGAAGACUGAAGUCCAUCCUAACUAGAAAUAAAAUGAAAAGCACAUUUGAGGUGCACUUUUCUUUCUUUUUUUUAACUAAACUUGCAAGAUUUUAUUAAGUGGUAACACUCAGUUCUGGGAACAUCUUAAAAUUGGUAUCCUCCCACAAGGAUGGUGACACUUUAAAUUUGGACAAGUCUUUGGGGAAAAAAAAU